GGGAGUAGAUAGGUUCUGGUGUGCCUUCCGGACUUCAAAUCCGGCAGCGGGCUAGACUCAGUCCGCGGUGGGUUCGAUUCCCACAUACUCCCGCCA
This 96-nucleotide transfer RNA is filed under the name Bacillota bacterium. RNAcentral describes it as "tRNA-Sec". It matches the Rfam family "Selenocysteine transfer RNA". The record is from RNAcentral. RNAcentral also lists the same sequence under 1 other name. Lineage: Bacteria; Bacillati; Bacillota.